CAAAAGAACAAAAAGAAAAAAGCCCUG
Molecule: non-coding RNA, 27 nt
Filed under: Cricetulus griseus (Chinese hamster)
Lineage: Eukaryota; Metazoa; Chordata; Mammalia; Rodentia; Cricetidae
Source: RNAcentral